UACGUAGGUGGCGAGCGUUAUCCGGAUUUACUGGGUGUAAAGGGUGUGUAGGCGGAGAGACAAGUCAGGUGUGAAAAUUACGGGCUCAACCCGUAACCUGCGCCUGAAACUGUUUCCCUUGAGAGUCGGAGGGGUAGAUAGAAUUCCCAGUGUAGCGGUGAAAUGCGUAGAUAUUGGGAGGAAUACCGGUGGCGAAGGCGAUCUACUGGACGACAACUGACGCUGAGACACGAAAGUGUGGGGAGCAAACAGG
RNAcentral lists this unclassified non-coding RNA (253 nucleotides) under uncultured Oscillospiraceae bacterium. Its description in RNAcentral is "contains 16S-23S intergenic spacer region". It matches the Rfam family "Bacterial small subunit ribosomal RNA", at positions 524 to 776 of the family's 1533-position model. Lineage: Bacteria; Bacillati; Bacillota; Clostridia; Eubacteriales; Oscillospiraceae. The record is from RNAcentral.